AGCAGCCGCGGUAAUUCCAGCUCCAAUAGCGUAUAUUAAAGUUGUUGCAGUUAAAAAGCUCGUAGUUGAAUUUCGGGAUUGACGUGAUGGUCGUGCCUUAAGGGGUAUGAACUGUUGCAGUCAAUUUCUCACCUUCUGGAGAAAUAUAAUGUCCUUAAUUGGGUGUUAUAUGGAACCAGAACUUUUUACCUUGAAAAAAUAGAGUGUUUAAAGCAGGCAUAUUGCUCGAAUACAUUAGCAUGGAAUAAUAAAAUAGGACGGCAUGGUUCUAUUUUGUUGGUUUCUAGGAUCACCGUAAUGAUUAAUAGGGAUAGUUGGG
Molecule: ribosomal RNA, 319 nt
Filed under: uncultured Entrophospora
Lineage: Eukaryota; Fungi; Glomeromycota; Glomeromycetes; Entrophosporales; Entrophosporaceae
Description: SSU rRNA
Rfam family: Eukaryotic small subunit ribosomal RNA
Source: RNAcentral